UACGUAGGGUGCAAGCGUUAAUCGGAAUUACUGGGCGUAAAGCGUGCGCAGGCGGUUUUGUAAGUCUGUCGUGAAAUCCCCGGGCUCAACCUGGGAAUUGCGAUGGAGACUGCAAGGCUAGAAUCUGGCAGAGGGGGGUAGAAUUCCACGUGUGAGCAGUGAAAUGCGUAGAGAUGUGGAGGAACACCGAUGGCGAAGGCAGCCCCCUGGGCA
This 213-nucleotide ribosomal RNA is filed under the name uncultured bacterium. RNAcentral's name for it is "partial 16S ribosomal RNA". It matches the Rfam family "Bacterial small subunit ribosomal RNA", at positions 524 to 735 of the family's 1533-position model. The record is from RNAcentral.